RNAcentral lists this unclassified non-coding RNA (219 nucleotides) under Glomeraceae sp. RNAcentral describes it as "partial contains 5.8S ribosomal RNA and internal transcribed spacer 2". The stretch from base 1 to 72 matches the Rfam family "5.8S ribosomal RNA", at positions 84 to 154 of the family's 154-position model. The record is from RNAcentral. Lineage: Eukaryota; Fungi; Glomeromycota; Glomeromycetes; Glomerales; Glomeraceae.
GUGAAUCAUCAAAUUUUUGAACGCAAAUUGCACUUUCCGGUUUUCCGGGAGAGUAUGCCUGUUUGAGGGUCUGUUUAAAAAUUAAUCGAAGCUGCUGCUGUGGUGGCUCUUCGGAAUUGGGUUAUCUUUCACCUUUCGGUUGUAGGCGACCUAUAAUUUUUUUUACGAUUUAUACGAACGUGUCUAAGAAUUUCUUCUACGUUCACGUCAUAGAAAUCA